AGUCGAACGCGCAGCAUUCUGUAGCAAUACAGGGUGUGGGCGCGUGGUCGAACGGGUGCGUAACACGUGGAUAACCUUCCUUCAGGUGGGGAAUAACCCAUGUGAAAACUGGUGCUAAUACCGCAUAACAUGACGAUGGCACAUGCUGUUGUCUUCAAAGGCGCAAGUCGUCCAGAAUGAGGGAUCCGCGGCCGAUUAGCUUGUUGGCGAGGUAAUGGCUCACCAAGGCAUUGAUCGGUAGCCGGACUGAGAGGUUGGCCGGCCACACUGGAACUGAGACACGGUCCAGACUCAAUACGGGAGGCAGCAGUGGGGAAUUUUGCACAAUGGACGAAAGUCUGAUGCAGCAACGCCGCGUGGGGGAUGAAGCUUCUCGGAGUGUAAACCCCUUUCGACCCGGAAGAAUGCCCGCAAGGGUUUGACGGUACGGGUAUAAGAAGCCCCGGCUAACUACGUGCCAGCAGCCGCGGUAAUACGUAGGGGGCCAGCGUUGCUCGGAAUUACUGGGCGUAAAGGGUCUGUAGGCGGUGCGGCCAAGUCGAUAGUGAAAUCCCUAGGCUUAACCUAGGGGCUGCUAGCGAAACUGCCGUGCUUAAGAGUUGUGAGAGAGGCGAGUGGGAAUUACGGGGUGUAGCCGGUGAAAUUGCGUAGAUAUCCGGUAGGAAACCAUCCGAGGGGAAAGGCGGGUCGUGGGAUUCACAAAUUGAACGGCUUGAGAAGAACUGAAAAGGCUAAGGGGGAGCCCAAAACAGGGAUUUAGA
Molecule: ribosomal RNA, 761 nt
Filed under: uncultured bacterium
Lineage: Bacteria
Description: bacterial SSU rRNA
Rfam family: Bacterial small subunit ribosomal RNA
Source: RNAcentral